Long non-coding RNA from Brienomyrus brachyistius, 651 nucleotides. RefSeq lists it as uncharacterized. Lineage: Eukaryota; Metazoa; Chordata; Actinopteri; Osteoglossiformes; Mormyridae. The record is from RefSeq and is a predicted model, not a curated record. The transcript is spliced from 2 exons.
CGGUGCCAUUGGCUUUGGAUGAACUGGAUUGUCAGUGCUGUCACUCUAGCUUUGCAAUCUCUUGUGGAACUGGAGUGCUGACAUUUCAGGGACUCCCCAUGCCGGCAUUCCCACUUGCCUCUCCCUCCUACUGAUGCUGCCAUAGCCAUAUCUGCCGGAGCUUGCAGAUUGCACUUCAUAUUGUACUCACCUAGCUUUUAGCACUGCCAAUAGCCUCCUCUACUAUGCCUAAUUGUACAUUUUAUUUCCCCUACUCCUCCUGGGGGUGAUGCCUGGAGACCUCAAUCUAUCAAGAUAUCCAGCACACCCGACCACCACCAGUGACGUCCCUGCAUCCAGCUCGCCGUUCUGAUCUUCCAUGUAUGACCCGCUGCCUUACCUCUGGUUGCCUGGCAAUUGGAAGAAGACUCGGCUUCGGCAUUGGCUUAUCUUCCUUGCUCUCCUCUCUCUAUUUGACUAUCCCUGCCGGCCCCUGGAGGAUGGGCUUCCCCUUUGAGUCUGGUCCCUCUCAAGGUUUCUUCCUUCUAGGGAGUUUUUUCCUUGCCACUGUCGCCUAUGGCUUACUCACUGGGGGCUUUGGGUGAGGAUACUGUAAAGCGCUUUGAGACAAUGUAAUGUUGUGAUAAUGCGCUAUAUAAAAAUAAAUUUGUU